Molecule: ribosomal RNA, 483 nt
Filed under: uncultured bacterium
Lineage: Bacteria
Description: partial 16S ribosomal RNA
Rfam family: Bacterial small subunit ribosomal RNA
Source: RNAcentral
GAUGAAUGCUGGCGGCGUGCUUUACACAUGCAAGUCGAACGGUGAAGGUGGAGCUUGCUCCGCCGGAUCAGUGGCGAACGGGUGAGUAACACGUGGGCAACCUGCCCCUAACUUUGGGAUAACUACUCGAAAGAGUAGCUAAUACCGGAUAUGAAGUCUGUAGGCAUCUACGGACUUGGAAAGUUUUUCGGUUAGGGAUGGGCCCGCGGCCUAUCAGCUUGUUGGUGAGGUAGUGGCUCACCAAGGCGACGACGGGUAGCCGGCCUGAGAGGGCGACCGGCCACACUGGGACUGAGACACGGCCCAGACUCCUACGGGAGGCAGCAGUGGGGAAUAUUGCGCAAUGGGCGAAAGCCUGACGCAGCAACGCCGCGUGCGGGAUGAAGGCCUUCGGGUUGUAAACCGCUUUCAGCAGGGAAGAAGCGAAAGUGACGGUACCUGCAGAAGAAGCACCGGCUAACUACGUGCCAGCCGCCGCCGUAA